Molecule: non-coding RNA, 102 nt
Organism: Calycina marina
Lineage: Eukaryota; Fungi; Ascomycota; Leotiomycetes; Helotiales; Pezizellaceae
Source: the annotation of a GenBank genome assembly
GGUCCAAUGGUCUAGUGGUAUGAUUCAUCCUUAGGGUUCUCCCUGAGCCUUCAAAAGCUCCUAAGUUGGAUGAGGUCCCGCGUUCGACUCGCGGUUGGAUCC